This 454-nucleotide ribosomal RNA is filed under the name uncultured organism. RNAcentral describes it as "partial 16S ribosomal RNA". It matches the Rfam family "Bacterial small subunit ribosomal RNA", at positions 329 to 799 of the family's 1533-position model. The record is from RNAcentral.
ACGUACACUCCUGCGGGAGGCAGCAGUGGGGAAUAUUGGACAAUGGGCGCAAGCCUGAUCCAGCCAUGCCGCGUGAGUGAUGAAGGCCCUAGGGUUGUAAAGCUCUUUCACCGGUGAAGAUGAUGACGGUAACCGGAGAAGAAGCCCCGGCUAACUUCGUGCCAGCAGCCGCGGUAAUACGAAGGGGGCUAGCGUUGUUCGGAUUUACUGGGCGUAAAGCGCACGUAGGCGGACUAUUAAGUCAGGGGUGAAAUCCCGGGGCUCAACCCCGGAACUGCCUUUGAUACUGGUAGUCUUGAGUUCGAGAGAGGUGAGUGGAAUUCCGAGUGUAGAGGUGAAAUUCGUAGAUAUUCGGAGGAACACCAGUGGCGAAGGCGGCUCACUGGCUCGAUACUGACGCUGAGGUGCGAAAGCGUGGGGAGCAAACAGGAUUAGAUACCCCGGUAGUCCCAUG